RNAcentral lists this ribosomal RNA (253 nucleotides) under uncultured bacterium. RNAcentral describes it as "partial 16S ribosomal RNA". It matches the Rfam family "Bacterial small subunit ribosomal RNA", at positions 524 to 776 of the family's 1533-position model. The record is from RNAcentral.
UACGGAGGGUGCGAGCGUUAAUCGGAAUUACUGGGCGUAAAGGGUGCGUAGGUUGUUUAGUAAGUUAGCUGUGAAAUUCCUGGGCUCAACCUGGGACUGUCAGCUAAGACUGCUGAACUGGAGUAUGGGAGAGGGUAGUGGAAUUUCCGGUGUAGCGGUGAAAUGCGUAGAGAUCGGAAGGAACACCAGUGGCGAAGGCGGCUACCUGGCCUAAUACUGACACUGAGGCACGAAAGCGUGGGGAGCAAACAGG